CGCACUUAUAAUCACAUUAACCAUGAACCCGUACAAUAAGUUUCAAGAUAUGGUUUUAAAGCAAUGGUUGGUCAUGGAUGAUGCACUUUUCCAAGCAUGUGGGUUUUGUCUAGUUGCGGCAUCUGAUGACCAGUCGGUGUUUAUCACUUGGGACAAGUAUUAUUUGCUAAACAUACGCUUUAAGAUGCCAGAGGACAGCUGCAGGAUAAAAAUGACUGCUGUGCGAAUUCCUGUGCCUAAAAGUGGAGGAGGCUAUAUUAGGAGUGUGCAUGCUUUGAGGUACAAUACGAUUCUGCAUAUGUCGAAUGGGGAGUUAUACAGCUUUACCUCAUUUAAGGCCCUGAAUCUUAUAAAAUGGCUCAAUGCAGUUCGUUGUUUAGCUAUAGUCGAUGUGGGAUUCAGCGUGAUUCGAAUAGAGAAUCGCCGACUGCUGCUGCAGACGUAUGUUGAUCUUCCUGAUUGGGAAAAGGACAAGUGUACACUGCAACAUUCAUUUGACAUAACUUUUGACCAGGAGAACAUAUUUCAGAGCGACUGGCAGCAUAACGAAUACACUCUGACAACUUUAAAAGUGACCGAAAAGGAAGAAGAGUUCGCACGAACUCUUUUCGGCACAAGAGCGGCAGAACAAAAUUAUAUUCACAUAUUCAGCAUAGGUGGACAUGUAUUUGCGUUGGCUUAUAAUUACAAAACAACAUCAGAUAGUACCGGUAGAAAGUUGUGGAAAUACAUUCCGAGCAAUUUUCAGUGGAAGAAUAGUACCUGCGAAAUACAGGUUGAACAAUAAGCAAUUUAUGGAAAGGAAACCAAGUAUACCAAAAAUCAGGCAGGUCAGCAGUCUUGGAAGUCAAUUCACUUUUCCCAAUAUAGCGGAUCUAUUUUGCAAUGCCGUCUCCAUUCACAAUGACUAUUGUAAAUUGCAUUUUAUAAACGAAAAGUUGCAAUUCCAUUUAAAUGGAAUGUUGGAAAGUAAAGAUGCUUCAGCGAUUUACUAUUUUAAGCAACAUAUUAUUCUAAACUCGGAUCAACUGGAAUCUGCAUCCAAAAAUUAUGACAUGACCUUUCAUACAAUAAUGAGCGACGUUGACCGAUUUCGGUACCGACAAUGUAACGACAUCUUGGCCCCUGGAACAAAUUUUUCCGUUUUAAAGUCAAAAUAUAAUAUCAUUAGAAAUGACAUUCAUUAAGAAUUUUGCGUACAUCGAAACUAUUCAAUAACCUUUUACGCUCACUUUUCUUAUUUAUACCCUAUAGUUAGAUAAACUAAAUCUAAAUCUAAUAAACUAAAUCUAAUCUAAUCGUUCCAAGGCUUGUACGUAUGAUAUUUUAGACACCAGACCCAUAUCCAAAAGUUGUCAUUGUGUAAUCCUCUUCUCUGCAUUAUUAAGAAAAUUAUUGAAUUGUGUCUAUCACAAGCGCAAAGAUCAUCCCAUCAGAACUAUGCUAUGUGAUUUUUGAAGUAAUAGCGCAAACAUUGUUGUUGUCUGGACUUUAGAUGAUAAAUCAAUCGCUCAGCUACAAGAUAAACAUUUUGUACAAGAAAAAUAUAAUGAGUAUAUAUGCUUAGUUAUAAAACAAAUAAAAUAUUCUUAAGAUGUUCAUUUGGGUUCAUUUGUAUAUUACACCCUUACCUUAUUGGUCCUGUAAAUUUCUACCGAUUUGCAAAAAAAAAAAUGUUUGCCACGCACACUCUAACGACCUAAAGCCGCCAAACCGGUCACGCCACCCUUUUAAAAUUUUUUUUGACAUUCCCCAAUAUCUAACGAUAUCCCAGAAAAAUUUUUAAAUUUCUCGUUCAUUUCCACGAGCCGAGUAACGGGUAUCUUAUAGUCGGGGAACCCGACAAUAGCAUGCAUUCUCCCUUGUUUAAUUUUAAAUCAUCCAUAUCGUAAGUUUUUUCUUAUAAAUUUAGCGACGGGUUUCAGGUUUGUACUUUGCGAGUAAAUAAUAAUAUUUUAAAAUAUUUUAUUUGAAUCU
Drosophila melanogaster (fruit fly) is the source of this 1977-nucleotide non-coding RNA. The record is from Ensembl. Lineage: Eukaryota; Metazoa; Arthropoda; Insecta; Diptera; Drosophilidae.